Nannospalax galili (Upper Galilee mountains blind mole rat) is the source of this 129-nucleotide small nucleolar RNA. Its record names the gene SNORA71. It matches the Rfam family "Small nucleolar RNA SNORA71". Rfam says of the family: The members of this family belong to the H/ACA class of snoRNAs which bind a number of proteins (including dyskerin, Gar1p and Nop10p) to form snoRNP complexes. This class of snoRNAs are thought to guide the sites of modification of uridines to pseudouridines by forming direct base pairing interactions with substrate RNAs. This family includes U71 (SNORA71), ACA39 (SNORA39) and ACA60 (SNORA60). The record is from Ensembl. NCBI's taxonomy places the organism in Eukaryota, Metazoa, Chordata, Mammalia, Rodentia, Spalacidae.
UCCUGCAUCCGAAAGUGAUCAUAGGCUGCCUGUGCCCUGGUCGUUGGUAGUGCAGGGAAAGGAUGCUGAAAGACAUUUCUCAUGUUUGGAGGGUCCUCCUUGACCCCCAAACCCUGGAACUUUCCCACA